This 427-nucleotide ribosomal RNA is filed under the name uncultured bacterium. RNAcentral describes it as "partial 16S ribosomal RNA". It matches the Rfam family "Bacterial small subunit ribosomal RNA", at positions 355 to 774 of the family's 1533-position model. The record is from RNAcentral.
UGGGGAAUAUUGGACAAUGGGCGAAAGCCUGAUCCAGCCAUGCCGCGUGUGUGAAGAAGGUCUUCGGAUUGUAAAGCACUUUAAGUUGGGAGGAAGGGCAUUAACCUAAUACGUUAGUGUUUUGACGUUACCGACAGAAUAAGCACCGGCUAACUCUGUGCCAGCAGCCGCGGUAAUACAGAGGGUGCAAGCGUUAAUCGGAUUUACUGGGCGUAAAGCGCGCGUAGGUGGUUUGUUAAGUUGGAUGUGAAAUCCCCGGGCUCAACCUGGGAACUGCAUUCAAAACUGACUGACUAGAGUAUGGUAGAGGGUGGUGGAAUUUCCUGUGUAGCGGUGAAAUGCGUAGAUAUAGGAAGGAACACCAGUGGCGAAGGCGACCACCUGGACUAAUACUGACACUGAGGUGCGAAAGCGUGGGGAGCAAACA